This 322-nucleotide ribosomal RNA is filed under the name Sandona sp. Its description in RNAcentral is "SSU rRNA". The stretch from base 62 to 322 matches the Rfam family "Eukaryotic small subunit ribosomal RNA", at positions 694 to 955 of the family's 1831-position model. Lineage: Eukaryota; Cercozoa; Glissomonadida; Sandonidae. The record is from RNAcentral.
GAUUUCUGGCUUGAAACAUUUUGCCGGCCACGGUUUCGUGUGUUAGUGCUUGAUGUUCUGGCCAUCCUUCCAAUCGCUACUGGCUAUUCUUCAUUGAUUGGUCAGUGGUAUUGGAUCUUUUACUUUGAAAAAAUUAGAGUGUUUCAAGCAGGCUUUAUGCUAUGAAUACAUUAGCAUGGAAUAAUAAUUUAGGACUUCGGUUCUAUUUUGUUGGUUUCUAGGACUGAAGUAAUGAUUGAUAGGGACAGUUGGGGGUGCUAGUAUUCGAUGGCCAGAGGUGAAAUUCUCGGAUUCCUUGAAGACUAACUUAUGCGAAAGCAUU